CCUAGACAGCAUUUUUGGGCUUUUAAAUCAGCUACGCUCACGUGUCACUCAUCAUAGCUGUUUUAGAACCUUAUUUCUCAAUUCCCCUAGAGUUCCCUACGAUGUCCAAAAUGCCUCACGUGUUCGCGAAGCCCAAAAGUGCAGUCUAGCUAGACAGCUCACUAGGUUUUGAAACGCGUCCUCUCUGUGGCCACCAUUUUGGAGGUGAGUGUGUAGAGUUGGAGGAAGUGCUCUGAGAGCAGCGCUUGAGCUCUUCCUGCAGUUGCAGGGAUGAAUGCAUGAAUGCGAGAGAAGAAAAUGGCGAUCGAGCAGGACAAAUGUUUCCCCUCCUAGACUACAAAUGUGUUGAAUUUCUAUAGCCUUAUUAUUUGCUUUCAUUUCAUCUCUACUGCACUUUAAACUACAAGAGAGAAUUGGAUGCUAUUGCCACCAAAGACAUUGAAGAGAAGCAACACAGGGAAAUCAUUCGAAACACUGAUGGAGAGUGGACGGAGGAAAGUGUAGAGCUCAUUGGAAUGACGAUAAGGAAGAAGGGGCUGGUAUAAAGGUAGGAAUUAUUGUCUGUUUAUGGGACUUAAAAUGG
RNAcentral lists this long non-coding RNA (583 nucleotides) under Sinocyclocheilus anshuiensis. RNAcentral's name for it is "lncRNA (ENSSANG00000012233.1)". The record is from RNAcentral. Lineage: Eukaryota; Metazoa; Chordata; Actinopteri; Cypriniformes; Cyprinidae.